GGAGGUGUAGCUCAGUGGUACAGUAUGUGCUUAACAUGCACAAAGCUCUAGGUUCAAUCCCAAGCAUCACUA
Molecule: non-coding RNA, 72 nt
Organism: Heterocephalus glaber (naked mole-rat)
Lineage: Eukaryota; Metazoa; Chordata; Mammalia; Rodentia; Bathyergidae
Source: Rfam